Molecule: ribosomal RNA, 519 nt
Filed under: uncultured eukaryote
Lineage: Eukaryota
Description: bacterial SSU rRNA
Rfam family: Eukaryotic small subunit ribosomal RNA
Source: RNAcentral
AGGGCACCACCAGGAGUGGAGCCUGCGGCUUAAUUUGACUCAACACGGGAAAACUCACCCGGCCCGGACACUGGAAGGAUUGACAGAUUGAGAGCUCUUUCUUGAUUCAGUGGGUGGUGGUGCAUGGCCGUUCUUAGUUGGUGGAGUGAUUUGUCUGGUUAAUUCCGAUAACGAACGAGACUCUAGCCUACUAAAUAGUCGCAGGCGUUCUCGUACCGCCCGUCGGCUUCUUAGAGGGACAGGCGGCGUCUUAGCCGCAUGAGAAAGAGCAAUAACAGGUCUGUGAUGCCCUUAGAUGUCCGGGGCUGCACGCGCGCUACACUGAAAUAAUCUGCGCGCAUGCAGCCCCCUACCCCGAAAAAGGCGGGAAAACCAGAGUGCAUUUUUUUUGUGUGUGGGAGUGAGAAUUGUAAAUAUUUUCCAUGAACGAGGAAUUCCCAGUAAGCACAACUCAUGAUCGUGUGUUGAUUACGUCCCUGCCCUUUGUACACACCGCCUCUCUCUACUACAGAUUGGGAU